UCAAAUGAAUUGACGGGACCCGCACAAGCAGCGGAGCGCGUGGUUUAAUUCGUUGCUACACGAAGAACCUUACCUGGGUUUGACAUAUAGGUUGUAGGGAACUGAAAAGGGACCGACCCUUCGGGGAGCCUAUACAGGUGUUGCAUGGCUGUCGUCAGCUCGUGUCGUGAGAUGUUGGGUUAAGUCCCGCAACGAGCGCAACCCUUACCCUUAGUUGCCAGCGGGUAAUGCCGGGCACUCUAAGGGGACCGCCCCGGAUAACGGGGAGGAAGGCGGGGAUGACGUCAAGUCAGCAUGGCCUUUAUGUCCAGGGCUACACACGUGCUACAAUGGGCGAUACAGAGGGAAGCAAGGCCGCAAGGUAGAGCUAAUCCCUAAAGUCGUCCUCAGUUCGGAUUGCAGGCUGCAACUCGCCUGCAUGAAGUCGGAAUCGCUAGUAAUCGCGGAUCAGCUACGCCGCGGUGAAUACGUUCUCGGGCCUU
RNAcentral lists this ribosomal RNA (482 nucleotides) under uncultured Aminicenantes bacterium. RNAcentral's name for it is "bacterial SSU rRNA". It matches the Rfam family "Bacterial small subunit ribosomal RNA", at positions 901 to 1382 of the family's 1533-position model. Lineage: Bacteria; Candidatus Aminicenantota. The record is from RNAcentral.